ACACGUGUUAGCAUCACUUUAUUUCUUUACUACUUUGUACUUUAAAGGAAAUGGACGUCUAAAAAUAAUUCUACUAAAAUACUAAAAAAAACUUUAACAAUGUUAUUAACUACACAAAAGGAAAUGCUUUGCAAUGUGAGCAGCAAUAUUAAUAUCGAAAAUGGAUAACUUCCGUAAUGGAGAGAAAAGAUUUCUAGAAAUGAUGGUUUAAAUUAAAGAUUUUUCACCUGAAUAGCUCAACGUUAGUGUGAAUGUUUAUAGUCCAGCUGCGAAGGAUGGUUGGGGUUUGUUUUGGAAAUACAUAACCUCACUUAUGAUCAAAUCAUCAUUGAAAACUAACUUCAAGAUUUGAUUCAAGAAAUGCAGAUAGAAACUAAUAUUUAUUGAAAAAUAUAAAUUAAUGUAUUAUAAUUGCAAAUAAAAUUAUAUUUAAAAUUA
Lucilia cuprina (Australian sheep blowfly) is the source of this 438-nucleotide long non-coding RNA. RefSeq lists it as uncharacterized. The transcript has 3 exons. Lineage: Eukaryota; Metazoa; Arthropoda; Insecta; Diptera; Calliphoridae. The record is from RefSeq and is a predicted model, not a curated record.